CCUACGGGUGGCAGCAGUGAGGAAUAUUGGUCAAUGGCCGAGAGUCUGAACCAGCCAAGUAGCGUGAGGGAAGACUGCCCUAUGGGUUGUAAACCUCUUUUAUGUGGGAAUAAAAUGUUCCACGUGUGGCUGUUUGUAGGUACCAUUUGAAUAAGGAUCGGCUAACUCCGUGCCAGCAGCCGCGGUAAUACGGAGGAGGCGAGCGUUAUCCGGAUUUAUUGGGUGUAAAGGGCGUGUAGGCGGGUGGGUAAGUCAGUUGUGAAAGUCUGCGGCUCAACCGUGAAAUUGCAGUUGAAACUGGCAGUCUUGAGUACAGUAGAGGUAGGCGGAAUUCGUGGUGUAGCGGUGAAAUGCGUAGAUAUAACGAAGAACACCAGUGGCGAAGGCAGAUGACUGGACUGCAACUGACGCUGAGGCUCGAAAGCGUGGGGAGCAAACAGGAUUAGAUACCCUGGUAGUC
This 460-nucleotide ribosomal RNA is filed under the name uncultured bacterium. RNAcentral's name for it is "partial 16S ribosomal RNA". It matches the Rfam family "Bacterial small subunit ribosomal RNA", at positions 338 to 795 of the family's 1533-position model. The record is from RNAcentral.